This 539-nucleotide unclassified non-coding RNA is filed under the name Hevea brasiliensis (rubber tree). The record is from RNAcentral. Lineage: Eukaryota; Viridiplantae; Streptophyta; Magnoliopsida; Malpighiales; Euphorbiaceae.
GAAAUAGGAUCGGGAUUGUAGAAAAUUCUAUAGCAAUGGGCUUUUAUUUUGGGAUUUGAUUUGAUAGGCCUCGGAGCUCCAAAUUGUAUUUUGAAAUGGAUAGAAAUGGAAUAAUUGUGGCAGUAUUGUUAUUGAUUUUGAUUGUUGCCGAUGUUUCCAAUGCUUCCUUGCUCUCGACGUUUCGAAGAUUUGUAGCCGUUACGGGCAUAAACCAAAUUUCUCCAUCGCCAAGUCCAGAUCCUUUAUUGGUUGUUACUAAUGGGACGUCAAAUGGGACAAUUUCGAAGGAUAGGAAGGUACCGGAUGAUUCUAACAAGGUUGACUCUGGUUCAAAGGGUUCGAUGGCAGGUCCGCCUCCUCAAAACAAAAGGGAGGAUGAGAAGUCUCAUGGAACGACAAAUAGGAAUGACAAUAAAACGGAUUCACAGUCAGAGGUUGGUCAAAAUUGUACUGGGAUGACUAGACGGUGCAAGGAUCAGGAUAAAUUGGUUGCCUGCAUUCUUAGUUCUCAAACUGGGCACAAAAAAUUUGUGGUUCUA